This 271-nucleotide long non-coding RNA is filed under the name Capsicum annuum. RNAcentral's name for it is "long non-coding RNA (CANN_LNC002961)". Lineage: Eukaryota; Viridiplantae; Streptophyta; Magnoliopsida; Solanales; Solanaceae. The record is from RNAcentral.
AGUUGGUGAUGUGAAGUCACAAAUUUAGAAGUCAGAGUGAGGGUGACUUUUAUGUAAAUGAAUAUUUUAGUUGAAUAACCGAUGUUCGAUAAUGAUUUACCCCCCUUAUGGUGAUAGACUAAUGUGGUAACUAGUAGCAUGUGUUGAUGGUAUGGUAGUCCGUGGAGGAAGUGUUUGACUCCGAUUUUAUUUAUACAGAGUAAGAUGUGUAUUCUUAGUUCAUUAGGUAUUGCGUAUUAAAUUUCUAUCUCAUGUAAUCUUGUCAUCAAGG